AAUGCCCCUUGAGGCGUUGCAGCCCAACUGUGGUGUUGCAGCUGUGUCACGAGGCGGCAGAGAGAGACCGGUGGUGGUCUGCACUGAGACA
This is a small nucleolar RNA of Perca fluviatilis (European perch), 91 nucleotides long. RefSeq annotates it as small nucleolar RNA SNORA17. The record is from RefSeq and is a predicted model, not a curated record. Lineage: Eukaryota; Metazoa; Chordata; Actinopteri; Perciformes; Percidae. The transcript has a single exon.